GUGAGUCAUCGAAUCUUUGAACGCAUCUUGCGCUCCUUAGUAUUCUGAGGAGCAUGCCUGUUUGAGUGUCAUUAAAUUCUCAACUACAUCUCUUUGAUGUGGCUUGGAUAGUGGGGGUUAUUAUUUGCAGGCUUUUGAAAAGAAGUCAGCUCCCCUGAAAUGAAUUAGUGGUAUCUAAGCAGAGACUACUAUAGGUGUGAUAAUUAUUUUAUGCCUUUGUAUACUGCAAUACACUGCUUCUAAUGACUUUUGUUAUUGACCAAUUUGACCUCAAAUCAGGUAGGACUACCCGCUGAACUUAA
This 302-nucleotide ribosomal RNA is filed under the name Inocybe sp. OTU-55. Its description in RNAcentral is "eukaryotic LSU rRNA". The stretch from base 1 to 71 matches the Rfam family "5.8S ribosomal RNA", at positions 84 to 154 of the family's 154-position model. Lineage: Eukaryota; Fungi; Basidiomycota; Agaricomycetes; Agaricales; Inocybaceae. The record is from RNAcentral.